GAGGAUGUAACUCGGUGGUUAGAGUGCUUGCUUAGCAUGCAUGAAGCCCUGGGUUUGAAUCCCAGGGCCUCA
Molecule: transfer RNA, 72 nt
Filed under: Cricetulus griseus (Chinese hamster)
Lineage: Eukaryota; Metazoa; Chordata; Mammalia; Rodentia; Cricetidae
Rfam family: tRNA
About the family: Transfer RNA (tRNA) molecules are approximately 80 nucleotides in length. Their secondary structure includes four short double-helical elements and three loops (D, anti-codon, and T loops).
Source: Rfam by way of RNAcentral